Molecule: ribosomal RNA, 925 nt
Filed under: Vibrio harveyi
Lineage: Bacteria; Pseudomonadati; Pseudomonadota; Gammaproteobacteria; Vibrionales; Vibrionaceae
Description: bacterial SSU rRNA
Rfam family: Bacterial small subunit ribosomal RNA
Source: RNAcentral
GCGCAUGCAGGUGGUUUGUUAAGUCAGAUGUGAAAGCCCGGGGCUCAACCUCGGAAUUGCAUUUGAAACUGGCAGACUAGAGUACUGUAGAGGGGGGUAGAAUUUCAGGUGUAGCGGUGAAAUGCGUAGAGAUCUGAAGGAAUACCGGUGGCGAAGGCGGCCCCCUGGACAGAUACUGACACUCAGAUGCGAAAGCGUGGGGAGCAAACAGGAUUAGAUACCCUGGUAGUCCACGCCGUAAACGAUGUCUACUUGGAGGUUGUGGCCUUGAGCCGUGGCUUUCGGAGCUAACGCGUUAAGUAGACCGCCUGGGGAGUACGGUCGCAAGAUUAAAACUCAAAUGAAUUGACGGGGGCCCGCACAAGCGGUGGAGCAUGUGGUUUAAUUCGAUGCAACGCGAAGAACCUUACCUACUCUUGACAUCCAGAGAACUUUCCAGAGAUGGAUUGGUGCCUUCGGGAACUCUGAGACAGGUGCUGCAUGGCUGUCGUCAGCUCGUGUUGUGAAAUGUUGGGUUAAGUCCCGCAACGAGCGCAACCCUUAUCCUUGUUUGCCAGCGAGUAAUGUCGGGAACUCCAGGGAGACUGCCGGUGAUAAACCGGAGGAAGGUGGGGACGACGUCAAGUCAUCAUGGCCCUUACGAGUAGGGCUACACACGUGCUACAAUGGCGCAUACAGAGGGCAGCCAACUUGCGAGAGUGAGCGAAUCCCAAAAAGUGCGUCGUAGUCCGGAUCGGAGUCUGCAACUCGACUCCGUGAAGUCGGAAUCGCUAGUAAUCGUGGAUCAGAAUGCCACGGUGAAUACGUUCCCGGGCCUUGUACACACCGCCCGUCACACCAUGGGAGUGGGCUGCAAAAGAAGUAGGUAGUUUAACCUUCGGGAGGACGCUUACCACUUUGUGGUUCAUGACUGGGGUGAAUCUAA